Molecule: long non-coding RNA, 461 nt
Organism: Austrofundulus limnaeus
Lineage: Eukaryota; Metazoa; Chordata; Actinopteri; Cyprinodontiformes; Rivulidae
Exons: 2
Source: RefSeq, a predicted model, not a curated record
GGAGGAGGAGGCUGAACGCUCUGGACCCAGACCACAGAUUAAAUCAGACCGGGUUCAGAAAAAGACGCAGCAAAUCAAAGCGUCUGAGUCCACCUGGCCGAAGCCCAAAGCCCACCCAAUCCCCUCAAUCUGCGUGUCCAUCUCUGUGGAUUACAGUCCACAUCAUAAUCCAGGUUGGCCUGAGCCGGGCCCACGUGCUGCCCGCCCCUUGGUGUAAUCUGCCCCCUCGGUUCAUCAAUGACCCAGAGUUUCACAGACGGGUCUGAAGGAAGCAGAGAAACCAGACAGCAGGAUGUGGGCGAGAACAGAGAUGUCAACGCCGCAACUUCCUGUUCAGACGAGCAGAAGACCUCACUUCCAGUCCAAACCAUCAUCAGAACCGAGUCAGCAGGAGAAACGAACUCAGCACCACCGAGACAAACUGAAUAAUCUGAUAAGAUUAAACAAUCAAUUAACUUCAA